UUGUUAUUGGACCAUUUACUACCUGCUUUCAUAUAAUAGGAUUGAAACCCUGAAACUCCCAACCUUUAAAGGGGAAACAAAUUAAAACCCUAAAAACCUUCACUUCAAAGGGGCAACAGAUCACAUCAAUCAACACCUUCAUCUCAAUAAUCCUCAUUUCAUUUCUUCAAACCUGAACACAUAUUCAUCUACAACCUUUUUUCCAAGGUCGCGGAUGACGUCAGCGUUUUGAGGGUUUGCGAUUCCGGCGAUACUUCAAUUAACUACGACGAUUUUUGCGGUGUGAAUAGGGUAUGAACUCCGGUGACAUUCCGGUCAACCAAAGCUUCCGACCACGACGGUGGGGUGAACGACAAUGGUUCAGUGUAACCUUUUGUCUCUUUACACGCGAGGAGGGCGCACCCGACUCUAGCUGAGGAAACAAAUUGGAAUUGGCCAAACAACAGGAAACAAAUUAUUUAAGGUGUGACAAGUUAGGUCUCCAUCUCUCAAGUUUUGUCAAAGAACCAUUUGGCCUUGAAUUAAUAUGCUUUUGCUCCAAAUCUUAUUGUGUUAAUUAACACCUUUAUGAGAUUAAACGAAUGAUGUCAAUUGUUAAAAAAAUCAAGGUUUUUUAGCUGGAUUAAACCAAUGAUGCCAAUUGUGCAACUUAGCGUUGGGUUAAUUGAUUUUGUUCAAGUUGGUAGGUCACGUGUCAUCGGGUUAGGAGCUGGAUAUGGCUCAAUGUUUAUUGUAUUUAAUCACAUAUCAACAAAGUUUUUAGAGUCAUGAUUUAGUGGGUAAUUCAACUCCUGAUAAUUAUGGAUCUGGGAAAGUGAAAGAUUAGGAUGCAUAUUUUGCUUAUUUGUAGGGCUGGGUUACGUGUUUAUUUGUUUGAAGCUUCGGCUUGUUAUCUAAAUGCUUUGUAAUCCAUGAAAGUGUGGAGUAAGAUUUGAGAGAUAAAUCCAUUUAGAGGAUGGAAGUCAAGAACUAUUUCCUUUUGUAUAGAUGAUGCAGACUGCCUGCUAAAGCAUUAGCAUUA
Long non-coding RNA from Helianthus annuus (common sunflower), 1021 nucleotides. RefSeq lists it as uncharacterized. The transcript is spliced from 3 exons. The record is from RefSeq and is a predicted model, not a curated record. Lineage: Eukaryota; Viridiplantae; Streptophyta; Magnoliopsida; Asterales; Asteraceae.